RNAcentral lists this ribosomal RNA (445 nucleotides) under uncultured bacterium. Its description in RNAcentral is "bacterial SSU rRNA". It matches the Rfam family "Bacterial small subunit ribosomal RNA", at positions 331 to 793 of the family's 1533-position model. The record is from RNAcentral.
CCAGACUCCUACGGGAGGCAGCAGUGGGGAAUAUUGCACAAUGGGGGGAACCCUGAUGCAGCGACGCCGCGUGGGGGAAGGAGCACCUCGGUGCGUAAAGCCCUAUCGGCAGGGAAGAAACAGACGGUACCUGACUAAGAAGCCCCGGCUAACUACGUGCCAGCAGCCGCGGUAAUACGGAGGGGGCAAGCGUUAUCCGGAUUCACUGGGUGUAAAGGGAGCGUAGACGGCGGCGCAAGUCUGGAGUGAAAGCCCGGGGCCCAACCCCGGGACUGCUCUGGGAACUGCGUCGCUGGAGUUCGGGAGGGGCAGGCGGAAUUCCUGGUGUAGCGGUGAAAUGCGUAGGUAUCAGGAGGAACCCCGGCGGCGAAGGCGGCCUGCUGGGCCGUGACUGACGUUGAGGCUCGAGAGCGUUGGGAGCAAACAGGAUUAGAUACCCCUGUAA